AAAAAAGACAAACACUGGUUUCCGUGUCCAACGUUUGACCGUCCGUCUUAUUUGAAAAAAUUAAAAAAUAAGUCACGCAUAAAGUAUUAAUCAUGUUUUAUCAUCUAACAACAAUGAAAAUACUAACUAUAAAAAAAUUUCACAUAAGACGGACAGUCAAACGUUGGCAUGGGAACUCACGGUUUGCCUUUUU
Molecule: non-coding RNA, 193 nt
Organism: Oryza glaberrima (African rice)
Lineage: Eukaryota; Viridiplantae; Streptophyta; Magnoliopsida; Poales; Poaceae
Source: Rfam